Molecule: long non-coding RNA, 340 nt
Organism: Xenia sp. Carnegie-2017
Lineage: Eukaryota; Metazoa; Cnidaria; Anthozoa; Malacalcyonacea; Xeniidae
Exons: 4
Source: RefSeq, a predicted model, not a curated record
AUAGAAUUCACUUUUUGGUGAAUCAAACAUGGCAACAGACUCGUGGAAGAAACAUUCCAUGCGAACAAAUGGGUCUCAGGACUAAGGUAUCCGUGACCAUUACCUUUCAAAUGGUGUUCAUGUAAGACACAGGGAAACAGGUGUCAUUAAAAACUUUGUCAAAGUUAUGGCUUUAUUGAGUGUGCUGAACAGGAUCUUCGAGUGUUCUUUCAUUACAGUCAGUACAAAGGACAUUCAAGUGAACUGGAACUUGGUGGAAUUGUUUUUUCUUCCAUAUCAUCAAGCUGAUGUUUUAUCAAAGUCUCACAUCUACAAAGGUGAUACUGUGUCUUUUUACAUC